AUUGAACGCUGGCGGCAGGCCUAACACAUGCAAGUCGAGCGGAUGAAGGGAGCUUGCUCCUGGAUUCAGCGGCGGACGGGUGAGUAAUGCCUAGGAAUCUGCCUGGUAGUGGGGGAUAACGUCCGGAAACGGGCGCUAAUACCGCAUACGUCCUGAGGGAGAAAGUGGGGGAUCUUCGGACCUCACGCUAUCAGAUGAGCCUAGGUAGGAUUAGCUAGUUGGUGGGGUAAAGGCCUACCAAGGCGACGAUUCGUAACUGGUCUGAGAGGAUGAUCAGUCACACUGGAACUGAGACACGGUCCAGACUCCUACGGGAGGCAGCAGUGGGGAAUAUUGGACAAUGGGCGAAAGCCUGAUCCAGCCAUGCCGCGUGUGUGAAGAAGGUCUUCGGAUUGUAAAGCACUUUAAGUUGGGGGGAAGGGCAGUAAGUUAAUACCUUGCUGUUUUGACGUUACCAACAGAAUAAGCACCGGCUAACUUCGUG
RNAcentral lists this ribosomal RNA (484 nucleotides) under uncultured bacterium. RNAcentral describes it as "partial 16S ribosomal RNA". It matches the Rfam family "Bacterial small subunit ribosomal RNA", at positions 30 to 507 of the family's 1533-position model. The record is from RNAcentral.